Molecule: ribosomal RNA, 497 nt
Filed under: uncultured bacterium
Lineage: Bacteria
Description: partial 16S ribosomal RNA
Rfam family: Bacterial small subunit ribosomal RNA
Source: RNAcentral
GAUGAACGCUGGCGGCGUGCCUAAUACAUGCAAGUCGAGCGAACGGACGAGAAGCUUGCUUCUCUGAUGUUAGCGGCGGACGGGUGAGUAACACGUGGAUAACCUACCUAUAAGACUGGGAUAACUUCGGGAAACCGUAGCUAAUACCGGAUAAUAUUUUGAACCGCAUGGUUCAAAAGUGAAAGACGGUCUUGCUGUCACUUAUAGAUGGAUCCGCGCUGCAUUAGCUAGUUGGUAAGGUAACGGCUUACCAAGGCAACGAUGCAUAGCCGACCUGAGAGAGGGAUCGGCGGCACUGGAGCUUAGCCACGGUCCUGACGCCUAAGGGAGGCAGCAGUAGGGUAUCGUACGCAGUGGUCGAGAGCCUGGCGGAGCAACGCGGCGCGAGUUGUGAAGGUCUUCGGUGCGGAAAAACCUGUUAUGAGUGAAGAACAGAUGUGUAAGGAGCUGUACACAUCGUGACGGUAACUAAUCAGAAAGCCACGGCUAACUACGUG